Molecule: ribosomal RNA, 167 nt
Filed under: uncultured bacterium
Lineage: Bacteria
Description: partial 16S rRNA
Rfam family: Bacterial small subunit ribosomal RNA
Source: RNAcentral
UAGGGAAUCUUCCACAAUGGACGAAAGUCUGAUGGAGCAACGCCGCGUGAGUGAAGAAGGUUUUCGGAUCGUAAAGCUCUGUUGUUGGUGAAGAAGGAUAGAGGCAGUAACUGGUCUUUAUUUGACGGUAAUCAACCAGAAAGUCACGGCUAACUACGUGCCAGCAG